GGGAGACAACUUCAGCUGAGUCUAUUAAGAACAGAAAGUAUACGCUUUUCAUUGUUUGAUGAAGAAAAGCUUUUGGAAGAAAUAUGGCGGACGAUUCCAUGAUUAAAUGUGGACCAUGUGAAUAUAAAAAUGAGUCGAAAAAAGCAAUUAAAUGGUGUACAGAAUGCGAAGAAGGUUAUUGCAACGAAUGUGUCAAAGAUCACAAACUCCAUAAGAUACUACGAGAUCAUCGCGUGAUAUCAGUAGACGAUUAUUUCAAAAUAGCAAACCUCUCUAAAAGUUAUCAGAAAUGUAACAUACAUGGAGAGAAUUUUGAAUAUUUUUGUCCCUCACAAGAUAAAGUUUUAUGUUUUAAGUGUUUGUCGACAAAUUUUACCUAUUUCAGACAGGAAGACAUCAUAGCCAUAAAAGAAGCGUUAACUAGUUCGAAUACAAAAGAUUAUUUGUCAAAUUUUGAAACAAAAUUGGAUGAUUUGCUUAAGGAAGUCGAUAAUAGAAUUAUAUGCCAUGAAGAAAUUGCUGAUUAUGUUGAUGAUAAGGUUGAUCAAAUAAUUUGUAAGAUAAAAGAAAUACGCAAGAAAGUUAACAAGAAGCUUGAUAAAUUAGAAGCUAGAGCAAUUGAUGAUAUGAAACAUAACAUACAUGUGAAAUCAAUGAAAGAAAAGCAUCAGAUUUUAAAAGAAAGGGCCAAAGAAGCAAGAGAAAUAAAAAGAAACAUAACACUUACCAAAGAGUACGCCUCUGAUAAAAGUCUCUUUAUUUUCAGUCGUAGAGUGCUAGAAUCAAUCGAUGAAAUAAAAAAGGCAGUGGACCGUAUGGUACGUCUAGAGCAACCAAACGAUUUACUAUUUGUAACAUCGCCAGACCUAAUUUCAGUAAUGAAUUCAAAAUCAUUUGGGGAAGUCAUAGCUGAUUACAGACCACAAGUAGAAUAUUGUACUUAAAAUUUGAACACAGAAUAUGUAGAGACUGGACCGAUGAUAAAAACUCUUGAAAAAAUAAACGAUAUUCAUUUUGAUUGUGGUCGGAAGAAAAAUCUUAAAAUAACUUGUUGUCGAAUUCUGCCAGAUAAAAGAUUUGUAGUGGCGGUUCUGGACAAUCUCAGGCUUACUGUCCAUAAAGAAGACGGUUCUCUGGAAAAGAGUCUUAUUUUGCAAGGGGUUCAGUUUUUGGCAUCACAGUUAUCGAUAUUCAAAGAAUUGCAGUAACUCAUGGCAAUCGGACUAUCGAUGUGAUAAAUUUGAUCGAUGAAGAAAAGAAAAGCAGAUUUGACAUAGACAGACCCUGUGAGGUAUACGAUAUAGUUUUUAAUAAUCACAAAUUAUUUCUCGGUAGCAGUUCAUCGUAUAUGAAUGAAAUUCUUAUAUCAACCAUGUCAGGUAACAUAAUGGGAUGCAUUCCGCUACCGAAACAUGAAAUUCCAUCAAAGUUUUAAAUGGCUCAAUUUGGAGAAAAACUUUACUUUACAUAUAAAGGCAAAACAUGUGAAAAAGUGGUGUGUUGCGAUUUAACAGGUGAUACACUGUGGAAGUUCGGCAGUAGAAAGGAUAGUUUCAAGUCGCUUGUAGAGAAAGUGUCGGGGACAGCUUUCCAGUUCCGUACAAAGGACAAUGAUAGUUUAAAGUCACCGGAUGAGCAACUGGCGAGGACGUUUUUCCAGGUCUGUACAGAUGAUGACAAUUAUGAUAGUUUAAAAAUACCUUGUCAUCUGUCGGGAACGGCUUUCCGGGUCCGUGCAAAAGACAAUGAUACUAGUCUUAAGUCGUCUCUUGCGGUAGACAAUUAUGGAAACGUUUUACUUUCGGAUAGAUCUGCUGGUGUACAGGCGAUAUCGUGCGAUGGCAAAUAUGACAAAGUCAUACGUAAGGAAUCGACAACACUGAUUGAUUAUGACAUGAAUUUGAACCUGUUAAUCCUAUGGACGGUUAUAAAGCAGAACUUUUUAAAAUAAUUUACUGAUUUUGAAUUGAACUUAAGAAAAUCUCUGAACACUGAAGUAAUGUAACUUCAGGCCUAGUAAUAUAAACAAUUUUUUUCUUA
Molecule: long non-coding RNA, 2040 nt
Organism: Mytilus californianus (California mussel)
Lineage: Eukaryota; Metazoa; Mollusca; Bivalvia; Mytilida; Mytilidae
Exons: 2
Source: RefSeq, a predicted model, not a curated record